UAGGGAAUCUUCGGCAAUGGACGAAAGUCUGACCGAGCAACGCCGCGUGAGUGAAGAAGGUUUUCGGAUCGUAAAACUCUGUUGUUAGAGAAGAACAAGGACGUUAGUAACUGAACGUCCCCUGACGGUAUCUAACCAGAAAGCCACGGCUAACUACGUGCCAGCAGCCGCGGUAAUACGUAGGUGGCAAGCGUUGUCCGGAUUUAUUGGGCGUAAAGCGAGCGCAGGCGGUUUCUUAAGUCUGAUGUGAAAGCCCCCGGCUCAACCGGGGAGGGUCAUUGGAAACUGGGAGACUUGAGUGCAGAAGAGGAGAGUGGAAUUCCAUGUGUAGCGGUGAAAUGCGUAGAUAUAUGGAGGAACACCAGUGGCGAAGGCGGCUCUCUGGUCUGUGACUGACGCUGAGGCUCGAAAGCGUGGGGAGCAAACAGG
RNAcentral lists this ribosomal RNA (429 nucleotides) under Gemmatimonadota bacterium. RNAcentral describes it as "Gemmatimonadetes bacterium partial 16S ribosomal RNA". It matches the Rfam family "Bacterial small subunit ribosomal RNA", at positions 355 to 776 of the family's 1533-position model. Lineage: Bacteria; Pseudomonadati; Gemmatimonadota. The record is from RNAcentral.